ACCCUACUCUAAUAAGGUUUUGAUAUCUGGAGCUCAUAGGUGGGAGACAGAUAAUACAUACUUACAAGACAUUUAUUGCAUAGUCAAACCAUGGAUCUAGAAGAACAAGUCAAUAAGUCAAAUCAAGAUGUGCAUGUGUGGCGAGUGAAUGGUGUAUGGUGAUGAUGGUGAUAACAAUGGUGAAAAUCUAAUUCUACUUUUGCUCUUUUAAGAGGAUACAUACCUUUAAGCUUUUUUAGGAGAAUGAGAUGUUAUUUUUCUUUUUCUUUCCUCUCAGGUGGGUAUCUUGUACCCCUAAUUCUACUGUCGGACACUUGUCCAUUUUUACCUCUCAUCUUACUUUUUCUUUUCUUCGAGGUUCCCGGCACUUGCCCCUUUUUAUUUCCUCGUAUCCUUUUUUUAAGAACACUCAUCUCCUAAAAUAAUAUAGCAAGUGGUAGUAACCAAGAUAACUCGAGCAUCUAUUUCACAGGGAAAAACAGAAAUGUUUUUGGCUAUUCUCUCCCAGAUUAGGAGUAGAAUACUUUUGGGUGGCU
Molecule: long non-coding RNA, 536 nt
Filed under: Sorghum bicolor (sorghum)
Lineage: Eukaryota; Viridiplantae; Streptophyta; Magnoliopsida; Poales; Poaceae
Description: long non-coding RNA (SBIC_LNC009964)
Source: RNAcentral